Molecule: ribosomal RNA, 492 nt
Filed under: uncultured bacterium
Lineage: Bacteria
Description: partial 16S ribosomal RNA
Rfam family: Bacterial small subunit ribosomal RNA
Source: RNAcentral
AGUGAACGCUGGCGGUAGGCCUAACACAUGCAAGUCGAACGGCAGCACGGUAAGAGCUUGCUCUUACGGGUGGCGAGUGGCGGACGGGUGAGGAAUACAUCGGAAUCUACUUUUUCGUGGGGGAUAACGUAGGGAAACUUACGCUAAUACCGCAUACGACCUACGGGUGAAAGCAGGGGAUCUUCGGACCUUGCGCGAUUGAAUGAGCCGAUGUCGGAUUAGCUAGUUGGCGGGGUAAAGGCCCACCAAGGCGACGAUCCGUAGCUGGUCUGAGAGGAUGAUCAGCCACACUGGAACUGAGACACGGUCCAGACUCCUACGGGAGGCAGCAGUGGGGAAUAUUGGACAAUGGGCGCAAGCCUGAUCCAGCCAUACCGCGUCGGUGAAGAAGGCCUUCGGGUUGUAAAGCCCUUUUGUUGGGAAAGAAAAGCAGCAGGUUAAUACCCCGCUGUUCUGACGGUACCCAAAGAAUAAGCACCGGCUAACUUCGUG